Molecule: ribosomal RNA, 521 nt
Filed under: uncultured Burkholderia sp.
Lineage: Bacteria; Pseudomonadati; Pseudomonadota; Betaproteobacteria; Burkholderiales; Burkholderiaceae
Description: bacterial SSU rRNA
Rfam family: Bacterial small subunit ribosomal RNA
Source: RNAcentral
UAGAGUUUGAUCAUGGCUCAGAUUGAACGCUGGCGGCAUGCCUUACACAUGCAAGUCGAACGCGAAAGGGGGCAACCCCGAGUAGAGUAGCGAACGGGUGAGCAAUACAUCGGAACGUGUCCUGUAGCGGGGGACAACCUCGAGAAAUCGAGGCUAAUACCGCAUACGAUCUACGGAUGAAAGUGGGGGACCGCAAGGCCCCACACUAUAGGAGCGGCCGAUGCCGGAUUAGCUAGUUGGUGGGGUAAAAGCCCACCAAGGCGACGAUCCGUAGUUGGUUUGAGAGAACGACCAGCCACACUGGGACUGAGACACGGCCCAGACUCCUACGGGAGGCAGCAGUGGGGAAUUUUGGACAAUGGGCGCAAGCCUGAUCCAGCCAUGCCGCGUGAGUGAAGAAGGCCUUCGGGUUGUAAAGCACUUUUAGCAGGAAAGAAAGCCUGUACGCUAAUACCGUAUGGUUUUGACGUUACCUGCAGAAAAAGCACCGGCUAACUCCGUGCCAGCAGCCGCGGUAAUAC